RNAcentral lists this transfer RNA (42 nucleotides) under Austrobdella californiana. RNAcentral's name for it is "partial tRNA-Leu". The record is from RNAcentral. Lineage: Eukaryota; Metazoa; Annelida; Clitellata; Hirudinida; Piscicolidae.
UAGGUUUAAAUUCUAAAAAUAAUAAGAAAUUAUUCUAUAUUA